UGGGGAAUAUUGGACAAUGGGGGCAACCCUGAUCCAGCGAUGCCGCGUGUGUGAAGAAGGCCUGCGGGUUGUAAAGCACUUUAGUUGGGGAGGAAAGGUAUGUACUGCAUAAGUGCAUGCUGUGACGUUACCCAAAGAAUAAGCACCGGCAAACUCUGUGCCAGCAGCCGCGGUAAUACAGAGGGUGCAAGCGUUAAUCGGACUUACUGGGCGUAAAGGGCGCGUAGGCGGCAAUUCAGGUCAUCUGUGAAAUCUCCGGGCUUAACUCGGAACGGUCAGAUGAUACUGCUUUGCUAGAGUGCAGAAGGGGCAAUCGGAAUUCUUGGUGUAGCGGUGAAAUGCGUAGAUAUCAAGAGGAACACCUGAGGUGAAGACGGGUUGCUGGGCUGACACUGACGCUGAGGCGCGAAAGCCAGGGGAGCAAACGGGAUUAGAUACCCUAGUAGUCCCUGAGCGGGCUGGCAAGGCGCAU
This 472-nucleotide ribosomal RNA is filed under the name uncultured bacterium. Its description in RNAcentral is "bacterial SSU rRNA". It matches the Rfam family "Bacterial small subunit ribosomal RNA", at positions 355 to 825 of the family's 1533-position model. The record is from RNAcentral.